Long non-coding RNA from Lolium rigidum, 2129 nucleotides. RefSeq lists it as uncharacterized. The record is from RefSeq and is a predicted model, not a curated record. Lineage: Eukaryota; Viridiplantae; Streptophyta; Magnoliopsida; Poales; Poaceae. The transcript has 2 exons.
CGUAGGCGUCGGCCUAGAUGUCUCCGCCCGCCUCUGCAGCCGUUGCCCCCCAAAGCUAAGCCCGCCUGCAUGAGCAAGGUCCAUACAUGGAGAAAAUGGGAAGAUUAAGCAUUUUGGGAUAAUCACGGUCUUUUUUCCUGUAAGUGUACUUCUCUUUAUAGUCUUCUUAUCUUAGAAGAAAGGGUAAGAUACAACUCUGAAACAUAUUUGAGUUUAUGAUGUCAAAUAGAGCCUAUGCUUCUACGAUUGCGAAUGACGAAUUCAGUGUUAGUUCCUUAGACAUUCAUAUUGAAAUAACAAGACCUGAGAUAAUAUGCCUUAGCAGUUUUUCUCAAUUUUGCAGUCAUUUUAAUUCAGCCAUCAAUUUGGUUCUAUUUUUUUGCUUUCAAAAUUCAGAUAAGGAAAACAUUCUGAUGGACCAUUAAAAUGUACUGUUCUUGAUAUGCCUUAGCAGUUUCUCUCAAUUUUGCAGUCAUUUUAGUUCAGCCAUCAAUUUGGUUCUCUUUUUGCUUUCGAAAUUCAGACAGGGAAAACAUUCUGAUGGACCAUUAAAAUGUACUGUUCUUGCUUCUUUAAUUGGAGCAAUUUCCUUGUGCUAUUCAUAGUGCUGUAUAUAUUUAACUAUGUUUGAUGUUAAACUGCAUCUGAUCAAUCCUCUUCGAAUUAACAUUUAUCAUGUGAUUGCCUAUCUAUCAGCAACUAGAGGGCGACCACCAGCAUUGACCAAAUCCUAUUCAUGUUGAUGUACAUAUUUAACUAUGUUGAUGUUAGCUCAUCUUAAGUAAUGUUCCUUUACAACAGGCUAUCAUGUAGAUCUCUAUUUAAAUUGUCCAUCCAGUUCACCAUUUCACAAUUUCACCUUCCAUACUAACUGAAGUUGCUUCAAUUUCCACAUAUUAAUACAACAGAAGAUGAGCAUCAUGCAAAGAGGUAGUUUUGCACUUCGAAGGAGUUAUUUUUUGUUUCUGGAGUCGGAAGAACUCUAUUUGGAUCCAAAUCCAACUGAUUCUUCGUCGUGGUUUGCAUCAUGCCUCCAAUGCACGACAAAAGUAGUCCGCUCUAGAGAUAUAAAGGUGAGAGUGCAAAAAUAUGUUCCUCCCUUUACAACAUAUAUAACUAUUGUACUUGAAUUUUCCAUUCGAAUGUUAUAUUUUUUCUAACCAAUCUAUCCCAAUAUAUUUAUUUUUAUUGAUUUCUAAAAUUCUUCAUGUCUUCAUAAGUAGGUAUUACAAAGUUGGAAAUUCUGAUGUGUCAAAUGUUGCAUUAAAGAACAAUAUUGAUUUUUUUUAAUUACCGAUCUUAAUUUUUAAAUAGAUGGCUUUAAUGAAAUAGGAUGAUACCCAAUCAAAAUGGUUAGUACUUUCUUACUGAUUUACUUUGUUUUAUGACACUUUAUGCAUGUGCACCCACAAACAAUGUUUUUGGCCAGAAAAAAUGUGAUAGAUUGGCGAUAGAUGUCAUGGUGACGGUGUUUGGCCGGGGUGAAAGCCCUGCUCGACGGUGGCUGGCUGAACGCGGCGAUGCCCGCGCCGUUUUCCUUCUCGGAAGCGUGUUCAUGGACGUGUUCAUUGUCUUCACCAUGCCUCCCCUCGGAUGCAGUGGAAAACCCUAGGUCGGGUCACCAGACCAGGCGGUUGCGGCACCACGGUGUCAUCAUCUUCUGGAAGACGUCGUCUAGGCCAUGAGGGGAGUGGCCAAUGUGACAAUUGGAGUUGGAGGCAUUUAUGCACCGCCGGUGUUGGCCAUAGCCCUAGGCUUGUGCUUCCAAGGCGCAACGUACGACAUAGCGUCACAUCUUGUUGGGCGACUUCCCGGAGUCUGUCAGGCUGCCUCCUCCUCACCGACUCCUCUAGGCACAUGAGUCGAAGUCGUGCUACGGUGUGUCUUUUUUGGUUUGUGACUCGGUUUGGAAGCCAUGUGAUCCUCUUGUCAUUCUUUGUUGGAUGUUGGCAAGGCGAGCCGUUUAUUAUCUGGUUUGUACAUGGUGUUUUUGUUUGCCUCUUGACGUUGCAUCGUGGAGUGGAGUUGUGUCCUUGUUGGCGUUGUAUCGUGGUGUGAAGUUGUAACCUUUUUGGCAUUAUACCGAUUGUCUUUGGCCUUUCUUCUAUAUGAUCAUACCCCUUUUAGGA